Molecule: long non-coding RNA, 398 nt
Filed under: Pogona vitticeps (central bearded dragon)
Lineage: Eukaryota; Metazoa; Chordata; Lepidosauria; Squamata; Agamidae
Description: lncRNA (ENSPVIG00000004561.1)
Source: RNAcentral
CUUGUCUUAUGACCACCUCAGAGGUUCCAUUCCUUCCUUCUGAUUUGUUCGGUGCUACUACGUCACAGGACAAGGACCGAUUUGGAGAUGGCACCUGUCUUCCUUCUCUCCUGUGAAGUCUGAAGACAUAAGCAAGCUUGGAGAGCUUUAUAUGGAGAACAAGGUCAAUACCUGUUAUCUGUCAAGCCUGAUACUCCUGAGAACAAUGCAUCUACAGUCACCUGUACCUUGAGUGUGGAGAAAAACCCUGUCAAUGGUUACAUCCCUUUGCUGAUUGCUUUCGCCGUCUUGAUCGCUGGGACCCUUCUCUACUGUCUAUUAUCCUACAUAUUCAAGUAAGUUAGUGUAUGUAUUUCAUGUGUUACCCAACUCUCCCUCUUUAUUAUUGUGCUAAGUAA